Molecule: ribosomal RNA, 490 nt
Filed under: uncultured bacterium
Lineage: Bacteria
Description: partial 16S ribosomal RNA
Rfam family: Bacterial small subunit ribosomal RNA
Source: RNAcentral
AUUGAACGCUGGCGGCAGGCUUAACACAUGCAAGUCGAGCGGUAGCACAGGGGAGCUUGCUCCCUGGGUGACGAGCGGCGGACGGGUGAGUAAUGUCUGGGAAACUUCCUGAUGGAGGGGGAUAACUACUGGAAACGGUAGCUAAUACCGCAUAACGUCGCAAGACCAAAGAGGGGGACCUUCGGGCCUCUUGCCAUCAGAUGUGCCCAGAUGGGAUUAGCUAGUAGGUGGGGUAAUGGCUCACCUAGGCGACGAUCCCUAGCUGGUCUGAGAGGAUGACCAGCCACACUGGAACUGAGACACGGUCCAGACUCCUACGGGAGGCAGCAGUGGGGAAUAUUGCACAAUGGGCGCAAGCCUGAUGCAGCCAUGCCGCGUGUGUGAAGAAGGCCUUCGGGUUGUAAAGCACUUUCAGCGAGGAGGAAGGUGGUGAGCUUAAUACGUUCAUCAAUUGACGUUACUCGCAGAGGAAGCACCGGCUAACUCCGUG